GUCGGCAUAUCGCGCGUAACAAAUCCUUAUUAAGUAAUAGGUUUUUAAGGGGGCCAGCUUACGGGCCAGGCCUCUCUCUGACCUGAUAACAAGUAUCGCCUCCCCGCCCAGCUCUAUCAGCGGGCCCUUUCUUUUGCAAUACUUAAAAGAGUCUCUCAUGGCCCAAUUAUUAUUACAGCGUUCUCUACCAUAGAAUUCGGACUUCCGGGUAAACCCGGCGGCUUCUAUGAAGAAGGCGGCGCAAAGGAGGCUCG
RNAcentral lists this long non-coding RNA (254 nucleotides) under Nicotiana benthamiana. Its description in RNAcentral is "long non-coding RNA (NBEN_LNC009860)". The record is from RNAcentral. Lineage: Eukaryota; Viridiplantae; Streptophyta; Magnoliopsida; Solanales; Solanaceae.